GAUGAACGCUGACAGAAUGCUUAACACAUGCAAGUCUUUGGCGAAGCUGUGCUUGCACAGCCUAGCCAAGGCGGACGGGUGAGUAACGCGUAAGGGACUUGCCCUGCAGUCAGGGAUAACAGACGGAAACGACUGAUAAGACCUGGUAAAGUCAGGCGGACUCAUGUCCAGCCUGAUGAAAAGGAAUGCUGCAGGAGAGCCUUGCGUCCUAUUAGCUUGUUGGUGGGGUAACGGCCCACCAAGGCGAUGAUAGGUAGCCGGCCUGAGAGGGUGGACGGCCACAAGGGGACUGAGAUACGGCCCUUACUCCUACGGGAGGCAGCAGUGGGGAAUAUUGGACAAUGGGGGCAACCCUGAUCCAGCAAUUCUGUGUGCACGAUGAAGGUCUUCGGAUUGUAAAGUGCUUUCAGCAGGGAAGAAAAAAAGACGGU
This 431-nucleotide ribosomal RNA is filed under the name Leptotrichia wadei. RNAcentral's name for it is "bacterial SSU rRNA". It matches the Rfam family "Bacterial small subunit ribosomal RNA", at positions 28 to 476 of the family's 1533-position model. The record is from RNAcentral. Lineage: Bacteria; Fusobacteriati; Fusobacteriota; Fusobacteriia; Fusobacteriales; Leptotrichiaceae.